UACAGAGGGGGCCAGCGUUAUUCGGAAUUAUUGGGCGUAAAGGGCGCGUAGGCGGCUUGGCAAGUGGAAGGUGAAAUCCCUCGGCUUAACCGAGGAACUGCCCUCCAAACUGCUUCGCUUGAGACCGGGAGAGGUGAGUGGAAUUCCCAGUGUAGCGGUGAAAUGCGUAGAUAUUGGGAGGAACACCAGUGGCGAAGGCGGCUCACUGGACCGGUACUGACGCUGAUGCGCGAAAGCGUGGGGAGCAAACGGG
RNAcentral lists this ribosomal RNA (253 nucleotides) under uncultured bacterium. Its description in RNAcentral is "partial 16S ribosomal RNA". It matches the Rfam family "Bacterial small subunit ribosomal RNA", at positions 524 to 776 of the family's 1533-position model. The record is from RNAcentral.